This is a long non-coding RNA of Anopheles stephensi (Asian malaria mosquito), 899 nucleotides long. RefSeq lists it as uncharacterized. The transcript has 5 exons. The record is from RefSeq and is a predicted model, not a curated record. Lineage: Eukaryota; Metazoa; Arthropoda; Insecta; Diptera; Culicidae.
UGGGAUCAAACAAGUGGUGUCAACCCGCGGUACUGUGUUAUCGUAAUGCUGGUAAACAUUUAUUUCAUUUGCUGAUUGCGAUGGUUGGUGCUGUACGUGAGAUCAAAUGAUACAGAAUGCGUGAAAACAUUCUACGAAAAAAACCGUGAAACACUGUCCCUUCCUUACGUUUCCCUUAUAUCAUGAUACUGUACAUCUCUGCACAGAAGACAACUACUGGAUAAAUCUCGACCAUUGAUGCCGACAAUAAUUUGAACAGUAGACAACCGACCAUUGCAUUCACCGAAAAGAUCAGGCGUGGUGCAUUAACGGAAGGUUUGACUAUGCGGCACAUGCGGCUUUCCGUAGUCGGAAGCGUACGGUGUACACGAAAAAUGGAAAAGUUUUCCCGAUUCAUGUUCUAUCUUACACUCCAACAUGAAAGGAUGUGUUCCUGCAUAAACCAGCAAGCGGUACCUGAGAUGAAUUGCCAAAGAAAUCCUUUUUCGAUCGGCAGUAUAUGGAACCGUAUUUUGAAUACUCGGAGAAGAUUUUCCCACUAGCCAUACCGCGCACGAUAAAAAAAUUAUUUUGAAGCUGGUUGAGGACUACAUUUACGUUGCUGCGGGGACACAUCCGAUAUGAGAUUCGACAUUGAUCGUUUUACACGAAGGAUGAUCGAUUUCGAAUCUCUUGUGUUUUUUUCGUUGGUGAUGUGAACAUUGUCUUGGCACGUGAUUGUCGUGGACAGCUUUAGCAACGUAGCUUUGUAUGUUUACACGACCAGUGUAUUUUUUGCGAAAGAUAAACGCGACGGGAUUUUGGAAAUCCGACCAGUUCACCUGUCAAUUUUAAAUAAACAAACAAUGGAAUAAGCGUUAGAUACAAGCAAAAUAUAUUAUAAUUUGUUUUAUUCACGA